RNAcentral lists this ribosomal RNA (761 nucleotides) under Prevotella melaninogenica. RNAcentral describes it as "bacterial SSU rRNA". It matches the Rfam family "Bacterial small subunit ribosomal RNA", at positions 28 to 776 of the family's 1533-position model. The record is from RNAcentral. Lineage: Bacteria; Pseudomonadati; Bacteroidota; Bacteroidia; Bacteroidales; Prevotellaceae.
GAUGAACGCUAGCUACAGGCUUAACACAUGCAAGUCGAGGGGAAACGGCAUUGAGUGCUUGCACUCUUUGGACGUCGACCGGCGCACGGGUGAGUAACGCGUAUCCAACCUUCCCAUUACUGUGGGAUAACCUGCCGAAAGGCAGACUAAUACCGCAUAGUCUUCGAUGACGGCAUCAGAUUUGAAGUAAAGAUUUAUCGGUAAUGGAUGGGGAUGCGUCUGAUUAGCUUGUUGGCGGGGUAACGGCCCACCAAGGCGACGAUCAGUAGGGGUUCUGAGAGGAAGGUCCCCCACAUUGGAACUGAGACACGGUCCAAACUCCUACGGGAGGCAGCAGUGAGGAAUAUUGGUCAAUGGGCGGAAGUCUGAACCAGCCAAGUAGCGUGCAGGAUGACGGCCCUAUGGGUUGUAAACUGCUUUUGUAUGGGGAUAAAGUUAGGGACGUGUCCCUAUUUGCAGGUACCAUACGAAUAAGGACCGGCUAAUUCCGUGCCAGCAGCCGCGGUAAUACGGAAGGUCCAGGCGUUAUCCGGAUUUAUUGGGUUUAAAGGGAGCGUAGGCUGGAGAUUAAGUGUGUUGUGAAAUGUAGACGCUCAACGCCUGAAUUGCAGCGCAUACUGGUUUCCUUGAGUACGCACAACGUUGGCGGAAUUCGUCGUGUAGCGGUGAAAUGCUUAGAUAUGACGAAGAACUCCGAUUGCGAAGGCAGCUGACGGGAGCGCAACUGACGCUUAAGCUCGAAGGUGCGAGUAUCAAACAGG